AAAGAGUGUAGCUAACUUUUCCCCAGCAUCUUAGGAUGUUUUUGAUGCUGAGAUCAAAGAUAUCAAUGAAUCAGAGACAGAAGCAAGUAUGGCAUGGAGAAGUAGGCUGUCUUGACGAAGCCUAAUUGCAUAAGCAGGAUUGGGUUUUGUGGUUUGAUCAGAUGCUAUGGUAGAUGGAGGACAUGGAAGUGUUCCAUUAACAUAUCCAGUUAAAUCUAGACCAAUAAGGAGGGCAAGA
This 238-nucleotide unclassified non-coding RNA is filed under the name Hevea brasiliensis (rubber tree). Lineage: Eukaryota; Viridiplantae; Streptophyta; Magnoliopsida; Malpighiales; Euphorbiaceae. The record is from RNAcentral.